RNAcentral lists this ribosomal RNA (668 nucleotides) under uncultured Gammaproteobacteria bacterium. RNAcentral's name for it is "bacterial SSU rRNA". It matches the Rfam family "Bacterial small subunit ribosomal RNA", at positions 1 to 659 of the family's 1533-position model. Lineage: Bacteria; Pseudomonadati; Pseudomonadota; Gammaproteobacteria. The record is from RNAcentral.
GCCCUUAGAGUUUGAUCCUGGCUCAGAAUGAACGCUGGCGGCAGGCCUAACACAUGCAAGUCGGACGGAAACGACGGGAGCUUGCUCCUGGGCGUCGAGUGGCGGACGGGUGAGUAAGGCAUGGGAAUCUGCCCUUUAGUUGGGGAUACCGUAUGGAAACGUACGUUAAUACCGAAUGAGAUCUACGGAUGAAAGGUGGCCUCUACUUGUAAGCUAUCGCUAAAGGAUGAGCCCAUGUUAGAUUAGCUAGUUGGUAAGGUAAUGGCUUACCAAGGCGACGAUCUAUAGCUGGUUUGAGAGGAUGAUCAGCCACACUGGGACUGAGACACGGCCCAGACUCCUACGGGAGGCAGCAGUGGGGAAUAUUGCACAAUGGAGGAAACUCUGAUGCAGCCAUGCCGCGUGUGUGAAGAAGGCCCGAGGGUUGUAAAGCACUUUUAGUGAGGAGGAAAGGUUAGUAGUUAAUACCUGCUAGCUGUGACGUUACUCACAGAAAAAGCACCGGCUAACUCUGUGCCAGCAGCCGCGGUAAUACAGAGGGUGCAAGCGUUAUUCGGAAUUACUGGGCGUAAAGCGCGCGUAGGCGGAUUGUUAAGUCAGUUGUGAAAGCCCUGGGCUCAACCUAGGAACGGCGAUUGAAACUGGCAGUCUAGAGUUUAGUAGAGGGA